Molecule: ribosomal RNA, 471 nt
Filed under: uncultured organism
Description: partial 16S ribosomal RNA
Rfam family: Bacterial small subunit ribosomal RNA
Source: RNAcentral
CACUCCUACGGGAGGCAGCAGUGGGGAAUUUUGGACAAUGGGCGAAAGCCUGAUCCAGCAAUGCCGCGUGAGUGAAGAAGGCCUUCGGGUUGUAAAGCUCUUUUGUCAGGGAAGAAACGGUGAGAGCUAAUAUCUCUUGCUAAUGACGGUACCUGAAGAAUAAGCACCGGCUAACUACGUGCCAGCAGCCGCGGUAAUACGUAGGGUGCAAGCGUUAAUCGGAAUUACUGGGCGUAAAGCGUGCGCAGGCGGUUUAGUAAGUCUGAUGUGAAAUCCCCGGGCUCAACCUGGGAAUUGCAUUGGAGACUGCAAGGCUAGAAUCUGGCAGAGGGGGGUAGAAUUCCACGUGUAGCAGUGAAAUGCGUAGAUAUGUGGAGGAACACCGAUGGCGAAGGCAGCCCCCUGGGUCAAGAUUGACGCUCAUGCACGAAAGCGUGGGGAGCAAACAGGAUUAGAAACCCGAGUAGUCCC